AAAACACCAUCUGAUACAACAAGUAUCAUUUUCCGGAAUACAUUUAACAAGUUACUAUUAAAAGAUAACUCUUGAUUUGGUUAAUAUGAAAAGAAAAGGAAAUUAGGGUAUAUUAUUUUAUAUUAAUAUGAAUAUUACUUAAUUAUUUUGUCAGACAUUUAUCCUUUAGUUGGUUGUGAUUGGACUGAACAGUUGGCUCAACUGGUCUAGCAGCUAAUGGGAGACCUGGACUGCAUACGGCACUUCCCCAACGCCCACUUCCACCGCCAUUUAUGUCCCCUGGCCUCUCCACCUCCUCCGUCUUCAUCACCGCCGGGAAAAACCCUCCUCCUAUUCUCUCCCACAUCAAACACCCAAACCAGAACAAUCAACACCAAAAUUGCCAGUGCUGGGUACAGGAAGAAGGGGAAGAUGAAGAUGGCAGAGAUCUGACUCUCAGACCUCAUUUCUUGCUAGUAUAUACAUAUAUAUACACACACAUACAGUGAGAGUCGUAUACAUACCUAUGAUUCAAUCAGUUUCAGCAAAAGGGAAUAGCAAAAGAGAGACACUUUGCAGUUGUUCCGGCAGCCGCCGAUAAUUCACAGGCAGCGGCAGUGAGGAAUCAACUAGGAGAAAGCCAAAGCCUUAUCUGUUGGUUUUACC
Molecule: long non-coding RNA, 645 nt
Filed under: Malus domestica (apple)
Lineage: Eukaryota; Viridiplantae; Streptophyta; Magnoliopsida; Rosales; Rosaceae
Description: long non-coding RNA (MDOM_LNC004934)
Source: RNAcentral